This 710-nucleotide ribosomal RNA is filed under the name uncultured bacterium. RNAcentral's name for it is "bacterial SSU rRNA". It matches the Rfam family "Bacterial small subunit ribosomal RNA", at positions 586 to 1299 of the family's 1533-position model. The record is from RNAcentral.
CGUCGGAUGUGAAAACCUGAGGCUCAACCUCAGGCCUGCAUUCGAUACGGGCAAACUAGAGUUUGGUAGGGGAGACUGGAAUUCCUGGUGUAGCGGUGGAAUGCGCAGAUAUCAGGAGGAACACCAAUGGCGAAGGCAGGUCUCUGGGCCAAUACUGACACUGAGGAGCGAAAGUCUGGGGAGCGAACAGGAUUAGAUACCCUGGUAGUCCAGACCGUAAACGGUGGGCACUAGUUGUGGGAACCUUCCACGGUUUCUGCGACGCAGCUAACGCAUUAAGUGCCCCGCCUGGGGAGUACGAUCGCAAGAUUAAAACUCAAAGGAAUUGACGGGGCCCCGCACAAGCAGCGGAGCAUGCGGCUUAAUUCGACGCAACGCGAAGAACCUUACCAAGGCUUGACAUAUAGGGAAAAGUGGCAGAGAUGUCAUGUCCGCAAGGGCCCUAUACAGGUGGUGCAUGGUUGUCGUCAGCUCGUGUCGUGAGAUGUUGGGUUAAGUCCCGCAACGAGCGCAACCCUCGUUCUGUGUUGCCAGCAUUUAGUUGGGGACUCACAGGAGACUGCCGGGGUUAACUCGGAGGAAGGUGGGGAUGACGUCAAAUCAUCAUGCCCCUUAUGUCUUGGGCUGCACGCAUGCUACAAUGGCCGGUACAGAGGGCUGCAAUACCGUAAGGUGGAGCGAAUCCCAAAAAGCCGGUCUCAGUUCGGAUU